GGUCGUAUGGCCGAGUGGUCUAAGGGUUAGUCUUUUCUUUCAAGGAUGCGUGCGUUCGAACCGCACUGCGACCA
Molecule: transfer RNA, 74 nt
Filed under: Cytospora mali
Lineage: Eukaryota; Fungi; Ascomycota; Sordariomycetes; Diaporthales; Cytosporaceae
Description: tRNA-Glu (TTC) (tRNA-Glu-TTC-4-1)
Rfam family: tRNA
About the family: Transfer RNA (tRNA) molecules are approximately 80 nucleotides in length. Their secondary structure includes four short double-helical elements and three loops (D, anti-codon, and T loops).
Source: RNAcentral